UUCAGGCAAAUCCGCGCAAUAAGCCAAAGGUGUGACGGGGAGCGAAAUUAUAGUAGCGAAGUCCGGAUACAUGCUGUCAAGAAAAGCCGCUAUUGCGCCAUAUGUACCCGUACCGUAAACCGACACAGGUGGAUGAGGAGAGAAUCCUAAGGCCGGCGGGAGAAGUGUUGUUAAGGAACUCGGCAAAAUGGCCCCGUAACUUCGGGAGAAGGGGCGCCCAGAAAUGGGACGCAGAGAAAAGGCUCAAGCAACUGUUUAGCAAAAACACAGGUCUAUGCGAAACCGAAAGGUGAGGUAUAUGGGCUGACGCCUGCCCGGUGCUGGAAGGUUAAGGGGAGAGGUUAGCCGCAAGGCGAAGCUUUGAACUUAAGCCCCAGUAAACGGCGGCCGUAACUAUAACGGUCCUAAGGUAGCGAAAUUCCUUGUCGGGUAAGUUCCGACCCGCACGAAAGGCGUAAUGAUUUGAGCACUGUCUCGACAACACACCCGGUGAAAUUGAAAUACCAGUGAAGAUGCUGGUUACCUGCGCCAGGACGGAAAGACCCCAUGGAGCUUUACUCUAGUUUGAUACUGGGACCCGGUAUGACAUGUACAGGAUAGGUGGGAGGCAGAGAAUUAAUGACGCCAGUCAUUAAGGAGCCGCUGUUGGGAUACCACCCUUGUGAUGCCAGGUUUCUAACGAGCUGCCGUGAACCGGCAGGCGGACAAUGUCAGGCGGGGAGUUUGACUGGGGCGGUCGCCUCCGAAAGGGUAUCGGAGGCGCUCAAAGGUUCCCUCAGAAUGGUUGGAAACCAUUCGGAGAGUGCAAAGGCAGAAGGGAGCCUGACUGCGACACCGACGGGUGGAGCAGGUACGAAAGUAGGACUUAGUGAUCCGGUGGUAUAAAGUGGGAUUGCCAUCGCUCAACGGAUAAAAGCUACCCUGGGAUAACAGGCUUAUCACUCCCAAGAGUUCACAUCGACGGAGUGGUUUGGCACCUCGAUGUCGGCUCAUCGCAUCCUGGGGCUGGAGUAGGUCCCAAGGGUUGGGCUGUUCGCCCAUUAAAGCGGUACGCGAGCUGGGUUCAGAACGUCGUGAGACAGUUCGGUCCCUAUCCGGCGCGGGCGUAAGAGAUUUGAGAGGAGCUGUCCUUAGUACGAGGGGACCGGGAUGGACGGACCACUGGUGUAUCUGUUGCACCACCAGGUGCACGGCAGAGUAACCAAGUCCGGACGGGAUAAACGCUGAAGGCAUCUAAGCGUGAAGCCCCCUCAAGAUGAGAUCUCUCAUUCGAAAGAAGUAAGACCCCUUGAAGACGACGAGGUAGAUAAGGCAGAGGUGGAAGGGCAGUAAUGUCCGGAGCUGACUGUUACUAAUCGGUCGAGGGCUUGACC
This 1373-nucleotide ribosomal RNA is filed under the name metagenome. RNAcentral describes it as "bacterial LSU rRNA". It matches the Rfam family "Bacterial large subunit ribosomal RNA", at positions 1531 to 2925 of the family's 2925-position model. The record is from RNAcentral.